Gallus gallus (chicken) is the source of this 666-nucleotide long non-coding RNA. RefSeq lists it as uncharacterized. The transcript is spliced from 6 exons. The record is from RefSeq and is a predicted model, not a curated record. Lineage: Eukaryota; Metazoa; Chordata; Aves; Galliformes; Phasianidae.
AGUAUUCAGCUGACUUUUCUCAGCAGUCCUACAGCAAGGCUAGGUGGUGCAGAAGGAGGGCUCCAAACCUCAGCUGACCACACUGAUGUGUAUUUUGAGAUUUUUAGACUUCUCAUGUAGGCAGUUUUCAAAAAUUGAUACAGAGGAAAUAGAUACUUUUCUGCCAGUGGAAAUUCUUCAUGCUGAGUUGUAAGAAGUUCCAUGGACCGUUUAGCUAUUAAAGGCUGACUGUCCAUAUGGCUUCCUCCACUCAUAGAUGGUAGUAAUCAGGAUGGUACCUGACUUUGCCUCUUGGUGCCACCUCUCCAAAAUUCAGACUACAAACUGAGAAUUGACGAUUUUCAACAGCACAUCAAUAUUUUCCUACAUCCAGUCACAGCAGGUAGAACCAUGAUGGGCCCUAUGGCAUUGAGGAACAGUGAGCUUCAGAAUGCUGCAGGUCUGAACAAGCAUCCACUGAAGCCACCUACAUUGUUGGUAUCCUGGUGAGACCACUUGGAAAGCAAAUGGUCUGCAAAAUGAUCUACAUUAUCUUGAUUUUCUCCUCAAUGAAUCAUUCAAGUGUACUACAACAGGUCAUUAAAGGUAAAAGGAAGCUGUUUAGUGAAUUGUUGUCAUGUACAAAAUGUUUGUUCUGCAUAAAUAACAUUCCCACAUAAAGGAUGU